AAUUUUAAUGACGCAAUAUUACCAGUAAUUCAAAAAAAGAGGGUUGGAUCUGUAAGAUUGCCUAGAAAGUACAACCCCCGCAACAAUAGAUCCCUGAUCCAGUUUGCAACUCCAAUGGCGAAACUGGAGCAGCUGGAAGAACCCGACUACAAGAACGCCACCGCCACCAACACAAACACUCUCAACAACAACAACAAGAAGAAGUACAAGAAAAGGAAUCAUGGGUCAACCAAAUUCUUUGUCUUCAUCGAUUACCUUUUCCUCUCCAUAUUCGUUGGCUUCCUCUGCUUCAUUCUUUUCAAGAUUCUUGGGCUUUGAUUUCUAAUCAACACCCACAUUUCCUUUUACCAGGGAAUUUGUAUGACAUUAAAAUAUCACUGCAAUGUUAGAUUCAGUUCCAAGCUUGAAGGCACUUGCUGCUGUUGGCUUGGUCAGAUUCAGAUCAUGCGAUUUUAGAUUUAUAGGUGUCUUUCUUGAUGUUGAGAAAUGCUGUGCCCUUUUGAUCAUAGAAAUUUUGAUACUAUUUUUCUUCUAAUGCCUUUCCUGUUGCCCUUUCUUCAUGUAUUUUAUGAUGGUUAGAAACUUCUAUGAAAUUAGGGAAUGAUAUUAUCUGAGACCUAGUUUUGCUAUUAGCUUA
Molecule: long non-coding RNA, 637 nt
Organism: Quercus lobata
Lineage: Eukaryota; Viridiplantae; Streptophyta; Magnoliopsida; Fagales; Fagaceae
Exons: 2
Source: RefSeq, a predicted model, not a curated record